AUCAUAUACGGGUCUGGCAUCUUGGUGCAAUCUUGAAUUUAUUUCAUCCGGCGAUACCCUUACAACGCAAAUUUAUUUAUUUGUUGUCCAGGCAAAAGGAAAUUACUCGACUUGAGCAGGAAAAGGGCCCCUAUUUGCAUCUGCUGGGGCUAUUAGUUUUCCUAUUGACGAAAGAACAGCACAAGAAAAUUGGAAGAAGAUUAAGCGGCUUCAUUUGUUGCUUACCACAAAGGAUUCUGCCAUGGAUGUACCUUCCAACUUGGAGGCCAGAAGGCGCAUUUGCUUCUUCACCAAUUCUUGUUUAUGAAAAUGCCAGCUGCUCCUAAAGUUUGCAAUAUGCUUUCCUUUUCCGUUUUGACUCCUUACUACAAUGAGGAUGUCCUCUUCUCGUUGCAAAAAUUGAGAGGGAAAACGAAGAUG
This is a long non-coding RNA of Eucalyptus grandis, 420 nucleotides long. RefSeq lists it as uncharacterized. The transcript has 3 exons. NCBI's taxonomy places the organism in Eukaryota, Viridiplantae, Streptophyta, Magnoliopsida, Myrtales, Myrtaceae. The record is from RefSeq and is a predicted model, not a curated record.